UACGUAGGGUGCAAGCGUUGUCCGGAAUUAUUGGGCGUAAAGAGCGUGUAGGCGGCCAUACAGGUCCGUUGUGAAAACUGGAGGCUUAACCUCCAGACGUCGAUGGAAACCGUAUGGCUAGAGUCCGGAAGAGGAGAGUGGAAUUCCUGGUGUAGCGGUGAAAUGCGCAGAUAUCAGGAAGAACACCCGUGGCGAAGGCGGCUCUAUGGGACGGUACUGACGCUGAGACGCGAAAGCGUGGGGAGCGAACAGG
This 253-nucleotide ribosomal RNA is filed under the name uncultured bacterium. Its description in RNAcentral is "partial 16S ribosomal RNA". It matches the Rfam family "Bacterial small subunit ribosomal RNA", at positions 524 to 776 of the family's 1533-position model. The record is from RNAcentral.